UUUCAGGUCUGACCUGCCCAAUGAGGAUUUUAAAUGGCCGCAGUAUUUUGACUGUGCAAAGGUAGCAUAAUCAUUAGUUUUUUAAUUAAGAACUGGAAUGAAAGGUUUGAUGAGAAAAUUUCUGUCUCUAAGGUAAUUUAUUAGAAUUUUAUUUUUAAGUUAAAAAGCUUAAAUGUUCAUGGAAGACGAGAAGACCCUAUAGAGUUUUAUAUUUAUAAAAUAUUAAAUAUUUUAGAAAGAAAGUUUUUAGUAGUUUAUAAGUAUUUUGUUGGGGUGAUAAAAAAAUUUGGUUAACUUUUUUGAAAAUUGAAACACUAAUAUGUGAUAAAAUGAUCCUAAGUUUUAGAUUAAAAGAUUAAAUUACCUUAGGGAUAACAGCGUAAUUUUUUAAAGAGUUCUUAUCAGAAAAAAAGGUUGCGACCUCGAUGUUGGAUUAAAAUUUAUAUUUGGUGCAGAAGCUGAAUGGUUAGGUCUGUUCGACCUUUAAAAUUUUACAUGAUCUGAGUUUAAACCGGCGUGAG
This 521-nucleotide ribosomal RNA is filed under the name Trigonopterus sp. 647 AR-2022a. RNAcentral's name for it is "partial large subunit ribosomal RNA". It matches the Rfam family "Bacterial large subunit ribosomal RNA", at positions 1844 to 2625 of the family's 2925-position model. The record is from RNAcentral. Lineage: Eukaryota; Metazoa; Arthropoda; Insecta; Coleoptera; Curculionidae.